UGGGGAAUUUUCCGCAAUGGGCGCAAGCCUGACGGAGCAAUACCGCGUGAGGGAGGAAGGCUUUUGGGUUGUAAACCUCUUUUCUCAAGGAAGAAGAAAGUGACGGUACUUGAGGAAUCAGCAUCGGCUAACUCCGUGCCAGCAGCCGCGGUAAUACGGAGGAUGCAAGCGUUAUCCGGAAUCAUUGGGCGUAAAGCGUCCGCAGGUGGCGUAUCAAGUCUGCUGUCAAAGACUAGAGCUUAACUCUGGAAAGGCAGUGGAAACUGGUAGGCUAGAGUACGGUAGGGGUAGAGGGAAUUCCCAGUGUAGCGGUGAAAUGCGUAGAUAUUGGGAAGAACACCAGUGGCGAAGGCGCUCUACUGGGCCGUAACUGACACUCAGGGACGAAAGCUAGGGUAGCGAAAG
Molecule: ribosomal RNA, 405 nt
Filed under: uncultured bacterium
Lineage: Bacteria
Description: bacterial SSU rRNA
Rfam family: Bacterial small subunit ribosomal RNA
Source: RNAcentral